UAGGGAAUCUUCGGCAAUGGACGGAAGUCUGACCGAGCAACGCCGCGUGAGUGAAGAAGGUUUUCGGAUCGUAAAGCUCUGUUGUAAGAGAAGAACGAGUGUGAGAGUGGAAAGUUCACACUGUGACGGUAUCUUACCAGAAAGGGACGGCUAACUACGUGCCAGCAGCCGCGGUAAUACGUAGGUCCCGAGCGUUGUCCGGAUUUAUUGGGCGUAAAGCGAGCGCAGGCGGUUAGAUAAGUCUGAAGUUAAAGGCUGUGGCUUAACCAUAGUACGCUUUGGAAACUGUUUAACUUGAGUGCAAGAGGGGAGAGUGGAAUUCCAUGUGUAGCGGUGAAAUGCGUAGAUAUAUGGAGGAACACCGGUGGCGAAAGCGGCUCUCUGGCUUGUAACUGACGCUGAGGCUCGAAAGCGUGGGGAGCAAACAGGAUUAGAUACCCUGGUAGUCCACGCCGUAAACGAUGAGUGCUAGGUGUUAGACCCUUUCCGGGGUUUAGUGCCACAGCUAACGCAUUAAGCACUCCGCCUGGGGAGUACGACCGCAAGGUUG
This 550-nucleotide ribosomal RNA is filed under the name uncultured bacterium. RNAcentral describes it as "bacterial SSU rRNA". It matches the Rfam family "Bacterial small subunit ribosomal RNA", at positions 355 to 896 of the family's 1533-position model. The record is from RNAcentral.